GGAACACCUGGAAAAGGUAUCC
RNAcentral lists this non-coding RNA (22 nucleotides) under Arabidopsis thaliana (thale cress). Lineage: Eukaryota; Viridiplantae; Streptophyta; Magnoliopsida; Brassicales; Brassicaceae. The record is from RNAcentral.